AUAAAAACCAAGGAAGAGUAUGUAUAUUGUUUUACAGCAGCACUGCCCAACCUAGCCUCCUAGGAAAGCCAGAGAAGUUACUCUAGAGGCAAAGGAGGUGUACAUGCUGUGCUCCCUGUCACGUGACCAAGACUGCUGCACAUCCAACAGCAUCUGAUUUAUUGGAUGCCUGGGCAAAGAUCUGUUCCGCACUGUGAAGCGCGUUUACCAACACUUCCAAGUAUCACCUGUCAAAUAUUAAGACUACUGAAAAACAA
This is a long non-coding RNA of Struthio camelus australis, 257 nucleotides long. RefSeq lists it as uncharacterized. The record is from RefSeq and is a predicted model, not a curated record. NCBI's taxonomy places the organism in Eukaryota, Metazoa, Chordata, Aves, Struthioniformes, Struthionidae.